RNAcentral lists this transfer RNA (72 nucleotides) under Anaerolineales bacterium. RNAcentral's name for it is "tRNA-Thr". It matches the Rfam family "tRNA". Rfam says of the family: Transfer RNA (tRNA) molecules are approximately 80 nucleotides in length. Their secondary structure includes four short double-helical elements and three loops (D, anti-codon, and T loops). The record is from RNAcentral. RNAcentral also lists the same sequence under 1 other name. Lineage: Bacteria; Bacillati; Chloroflexota; Anaerolineae; Anaerolineales.
GCCAGCGUAGCUCAGCGGCAGAGCAGGCGCUUCGUAAGCGUCAGGUCGAGGGUUCGAAUCCCUCCGCUGGCU